This is a non-coding RNA of Odocoileus virginianus texanus, 837 nucleotides long. NCBI's taxonomy places the organism in Eukaryota, Metazoa, Chordata, Mammalia, Artiodactyla, Cervidae. The record is from RefSeq and is a predicted model, not a curated record.
UCUCAAUAAUUGUAGUGUGGGGGCUUAGUUGCCCCAUGGUACGUGGAAUCUUCCUGAUCAGAGAUCGAACCAGCGUCCUCUGUGUUUCAAGGCGGAUUUUUAACCACUGGACCACCAGGGAAGACUGGAAGAAACUCAAGCUAUGACUUCUUCCCUCUUGUUCUGCUGGUUUUGGAGCACUGCCAUUCUUACCCAAGGCUCAGUUCAGUUCAGUCACUCAGUCAUGUCCAAUUGUUUGUGACUGCAUAGACUGAAGCACACCAGACUCCCCUGUCCAUCACCAACUCCUGGAGCUUGCUCAAACUCAUGUCCAAACCCAAGGCUACUUGAGAGCCAUCUGAUGCUUAAGCUACUCUGUCUUUAUCAGGGCUAUGAGCAAUCAUUUAAGAAGUUUCAUCACCCUGUUAGAGAGACCACAUGGAGAGAUUGUGAGACAGCAUGGACAGAGCAUGAAACCUAGCUGCACCCAGGGUUCCAGAAAUCUCUACCAAGGCACCAGACAUAAAGGAAACCAUCCUGGCUCCACCAGAUCAACUUAGCCACCAGCUGGACAUCACUAGUAUGUAUCUCCAGCAUAGUGAUUCUCCAAGUAUGGUCUGAGGACCCUGGAGAAACCUGACACCUGAAAUCCAUUCAAAGGGCCUGGAAACUCCUCCUUUUUCCCACUACAUAUCUCCAUAAGGUUGAAUUUUCUUCAUAUAUGUCAACCAAAGUAACCACAACCGUAUCACAGUGAUGAAGCAAGUAAGAGAGUCUAGCUGUCUUAUAUUAAGGCAAACAUUACAGAGCUUUUCAAAAAAGAAAACAUUUCUAAAUAAUUUUUUUAUUUUACAAAAU